GGGGGAUAUUGCGCAAUGGGGGCAACCCUGACGCAGCAACGCCGCGUGAAGGAUGAAGGUUUUCGGAUUGUAAACUUCUUUUAUUAAGGACGAAACUUGACGGUACUUAAUGAAUAAGCUCCGGCUAACUACGUGCCAGCAGCCGCGGUAAUACGUAGGGAGCAAGCGUUGUCCGGAUUUACUGGGUGUAAAGGGUGCGUAGGCGGCUUUGCAAGUCAGAUGUGAAAUCUAUGGGCUCAACCCAUAAACUGCAUUUGAAACUGUAGAGCUUGAGUGAAGUAGAGGCAGGCGGAAUUCCCCGUGUAGCGGUGAAAUGCGUAGAGAUGGGGAGGAACACCAGUGGCGAAGGCGGCCUGCUGGGCUUUAACUGACGCUGAGGCACGAAAGCGUGGGUAGCAAACAGGAUUAGAUACCCUGGUAGUCCACGCUGUAAACGAUGAUUACUAGGUGUGGGGGGUCUGACCCCUUCCGUGCCGGAGUUAACACAAUAAGUAAUCCACCUGGGGAGUACGGCCGCAAGGUUGAAACUCAAAGGAAUUGACGGGGGCCCGCACAAGCAGUGGAGUAUGUGGUUUAAUUCGAAGCAACGCGAAGAACCUUACCAGGUCUUGACAUCCAACUAACGAAGUAGAGAUACAUUAGGUGCCCUUCGGGGAAAGUUGAGACAGGUGGUGCAUGGUUGUCGUCAGCUCGUGUCGUGAGAUGUUGGGUUAAGUCCCGCAACGAGCGCAACCCUUGCUAUUAGUUGCUACGCAAGAGCACUUUAAUAGGACUGCCGUUGACAAAACGGAGGAAGGUGGGGACGACGUCAAAUCAUCAUGCCCCUUAUGACCUGGGCUACACACGUACUACAAUGGAUGUUAACAGAGGGAAGCAAGACAGCGAUGUGGAGCAAACCCCUAAAAACAUUCUCAGUUCAGAUUGCAGGCUGCAACCCGCCUGCAUGAAGAUGGAAUUGCUAGUAAUCGCGGAUCAGCAUGCCGCGGUGAAUACGUUCCCG
RNAcentral lists this ribosomal RNA (1000 nucleotides) under uncultured organism. RNAcentral describes it as "bacterial SSU rRNA". It matches the Rfam family "Bacterial small subunit ribosomal RNA", at positions 356 to 1376 of the family's 1533-position model. The record is from RNAcentral.